AUCCAAUCCAGGAGGUUGUGGAGGCUGUAGCGACACAUGGCGGGACGGUGCCUCUUCUCCAGGAACAGAUCUGCUUGCUGCUGUUAUAUUAAGUCCAAAAAGCACAAAUGGCCACUAGAUAAGCAAAGAAAAUUCUAGAGGUUCAGCCACACAAGCAGAAUAAGGUCUGAGUGCUGAGUCAAAUCCUUCAUCUCACAGGAAGCACUUUUUAAGGUAAGAUUUCAAAUACUUUUUUUUACAUUAAGCUGCAUUUCCCAUCUUUAUAUGACAUUUCUGUUUUUUUCUUGCACAAAUGUUUUGUGUUCUACAAAUAUUAUGAAUGGAAACAGAUCAAUUUAGACCCAAAAGAUUUUGGCAAUGAAGUUACUGUGAAAAGGAAAUGUUGACCUGUUGACUGAAAAAUGCUAUUAAAAAUGUAGGAACUUGUUAUUCUGGCAUCUUUGUUCAUGUAAGCAAGAGCUUAUACAGACCUAAGUGGAUGGGAGAGGUAAAAGUAUAUGUGGGGAAUGUUUUGUGGUGACUCCUAAAGGGUCUGAAAAAGGUGACCAGCUGAAAAAUAAUCAUAUACGUUUCCUACACUGUUCAGUGUAAUAGUCGAAAUUGCUGAAGAGGUCUGUACCACUACUGCAAACUGUCCAUAAAUAACAUUUUAAAAGACAUUUCUCCUGGAAUUUGUGUUCCUUUUUCAAUGUUCCACAGUGCUAUGGAAGUAACUGUGUUGGGCUGAUGGGAAACAGUGCAGUGAUCUAUCAGCCUCUGAAGAAAGGGGUUGUGCUAGAAAAAACAAGGUAUGACUCGAAGCUUUGCCACAAAGACAGAAUUAAAAGAAUAUAAUUUGAAUUCCAGCUAAAUCCCGACUUUUUGACAAGCUGGGUAAAUGAGAUUUUUAGAGGUGCAGUGUCUCAUAAAUCAUGAAAGAAUGGAAGCUGCAAGUCUGUCGUAGAAGGACUCCCUUACAAGCUCAGGAACAAGCUGAAGCAGAACUCCUGGAGCAAGUCAGGGCAGACUGGCGGCUUGCUGGAAUUGAGACAGGAUGCCCAGAAUAUUUUUAGUACUUGAAGGCUACCUACUUGCUUUAAAGCAUAUGCAAUACUUCUGUCCUUGGGCUAGAGUUCUCUGUUGUGACUCCAUAAUUUUACCCUCCGGGCACAGCAAUCUCUGAAACAAAAAGAAAGUAUAUCUGAUGAAAGCAGGAUUAGUUUGUACUGAUUUUUAUAGGCAUUUACAACCAUAGAAACAGAUGUUCCAAAAAUCACACAACACAGUUCACAAUAACAAGAUGACUUUAUAAGGCUUGCAUAUAAGCAGAUUGCCAGUCUAUCGCCAAAUAAGUUUUAGGAAUUUCUCUCAGCUGUGUUUUUAUAUUAUUAAGUAUAGAAAAGAGUUCUGUCUGUCAGUGUUAAGGACUAUGUGUUGAUUUGGUUUUUUGCUUUAAGAAAUAAACUAUCAAAACCUGAAGAAACACACCAUUUAAUCUUUGUGUAAUAGGUGAAUUGUUAUACAGGAAGCCAGUUACUCUAAAAUGAGUUUAGUACUCCUUUCUGCACCAAAAUAUGGUUUGGACACAAGAUGAUGUCUGUCCUUCACGCAAUCUACUGAUGUGUAUUUGCCCCCUAGGCUUACAGGAAUGGCUACAAACAGAUAAACAGUAAAUUGAGUCAUUCUAACCUUACCGACAUUACUUCUCAUUGUGCAAAUCCAGAGGAAUACGUGCACAUGCAAAUGCUCUCUGUGAGAACAACAUGUACAGGAGCACCACAGAGGAUAUUGGUUGUUCUUCCCUGUUCCAUGUUCCUCAGAAAUGCAGCUGAAGCAGCACCCAGCCCACAAACAUACGUGCUUAGGACUACUGCUACUUUUUUAAAAAGAGUAUCGUAUUUUUAUAAAAAUUGAGCUCAAAUGAAAAAUCUGAACAAAGUUAAGGGGAACAAGUAAUUUCUUUUUCUAUCUAGGCUCUAAAUGGAAAAAAAUAAUUGCGGAAAAAAGUAUCAGGAGCUGACCUUGCUGUUCCUGUCAAAAACUUCUGCCAUCACAUAUGUAAACAGAAAAACUAUCGAGGUCAAGGUCCUCACUGAAGUCUAGUCUUUUCUCUAAUGAAUUCCCCAAACGGUUUCAUAAUAAAUUAGGGCACCGUAUUUAAAAUGUUAUGACUCCUUUAAAGGAAACUGUAAGACUCAAGAGAUCCUGGUGAGAAGAGUAUGGAACACGCUGAAAGAAGACAAUUUUUAGCCAUAUUUUUAGCCAUGAUGUAUCCUAAUCUCAUGGACUCUUUGUAGUAUGUCCGACUACUGUUAGCUGUGGUUAUGCACUUUAGACUGGAUUUUGUGAAAAAUUAAAUAAAACAUUUCA
Molecule: long non-coding RNA, 2349 nt
Organism: Corvus hawaiiensis (hawaiian crow)
Lineage: Eukaryota; Metazoa; Chordata; Aves; Passeriformes; Corvidae
Exons: 3
Source: RefSeq, a predicted model, not a curated record